RNAcentral lists this ribosomal RNA (499 nucleotides) under uncultured bacterium. RNAcentral's name for it is "partial 16S ribosomal RNA". It matches the Rfam family "Bacterial small subunit ribosomal RNA", at positions 30 to 523 of the family's 1533-position model. The record is from RNAcentral.
AUUGAACGCUGGCGGCAUGCUUUACACAUGCAAGUCGAACGGUAACAGGGUGCUUGCACCGCUGACGAGUGGCGAACGGGUGAGUAAUGCGUCGGAACGUGCCGAGUAGUGGGGGAUAACGCAGCGAAAGUUGUGCUAAUACCGCAUACGUACUGAGGUAGAAAGUGGGGGACCUUCGGGCCUCACGCUAUUCGAGCGGCCGACGUCUGAUUAGCUAGUAGGUGAGGUAAAGGCUCACCUAGGCGACGAUCAGUAGCGGGUCUGAGAGGAUGAUCCGCCACACUGGGACUGAGACACGGCCCAGACUCCUACGGGAGGCAGCAGUGGGAAUUUUGGACAAUGGGCGAAAGCCUGAUACAGCCAUGCCGCGUGUCUGAAGAAGGCCUUCGGGUUGUAAAGGACUUUUGUCAGGGAGGAAAUCCCUAGUGCUAAUAACACUGGGGGAUGACAGUACCUGAAGAAUAAGCACCGGCUAACUACGUGCCAGCCGCCGCUGUAA